AACGUAGGACACAAGCGUUAUCCGGAGUUACUGGGCGUAAAGGGCGUGUAGGCGGACGUGUAAGUCUAUUCUGAAAGCUCCUGGCUAAACUGGGAGAGGCGAAUGGAGACUGCAUAUCUAGAGUGAGGAAGAGGAAAGUGGAAUUCCGCGUGUAGUGGUGAAAUGCGCAGAUAUCAGGAGGAACACCUGCGGCGAAGGCGGCCUUCUGGACGAUGACUGACGCUGAGACACGAAAGCGUGGGGAGCAAACAGG
RNAcentral lists this ribosomal RNA (253 nucleotides) under uncultured bacterium. RNAcentral describes it as "partial 16S ribosomal RNA". It matches the Rfam family "Bacterial small subunit ribosomal RNA", at positions 524 to 776 of the family's 1533-position model. The record is from RNAcentral.